GGGGGGCGGGGGCGGGGGGCGGGGCGCGUGGGAGGCGGGCGGGGCCGGCGGGGCGGGUGGCGCACGGGGGCGUAACGCGUGGGAACCUGCCCUUAGGUUCGGAAUAACUCCCCGAAAGGGGUGCUAAUACCGGGUAAUGUCUUCGGACCAAAGAUUUAUCGCCUUUGGAUGGGCCCGCGUUGGAUUAGCUAGUUGGUAGGGUAAAAGCCUACCAAGGCGACGAUCCAUAGCUGGUCUGAGAGGAUGAUCAGCCACACUGGGACUGAGACACGGCCCAGACUCCUACGGGAGGCAGCAGUGGGGAAUAUUGGACAAUGGGCGAAAGCCUGAUCCAGCAAUGCCGCGUGAGUGAUGAAGGCCUUAGGGUUGUAAAGCUCUUUUACCCGGGAUGAUAAUGACAGUACCGGGAGAAUAAGCUCCGGCUAACUCCGUG
Molecule: ribosomal RNA, 433 nt
Filed under: uncultured bacterium
Lineage: Bacteria
Description: partial 16S ribosomal RNA
Rfam family: Bacterial small subunit ribosomal RNA
Source: RNAcentral